RNAcentral lists this long non-coding RNA (1033 nucleotides) under Homo sapiens (human). RNAcentral's name for it is "HSALNT0303714". The record is from RNAcentral. Lineage: Eukaryota; Metazoa; Chordata; Mammalia; Primates; Hominidae.
CUCACCGCUACUCUGUCUGCGCCUGCGUGCUUUGGCUCCCUGGAUCUGAUGGAGUCUUGCUCUGUUGCCCAGGCUGGAGUGCAGUGGCAUGAUCUCAGCUCACUGCAACCUCUGCCUCCCAGGGUUCAAGCGAUUCUCCUGUCUCAGCCUCCUGAGUAGCUGGGAUUAGGUGUGCACCACCAUGCCUGGCUAAGUUUUGUAUUUUUAGUAGAGAUGGGGUUUCACCAUAUUGGUUAGGCUGGUCUCAAACUCCUGACCUCAGGAGAUCCACCUGCCUCAGCCUUCCAAAGUGCUGGGAUUACAGGUGUGAGCCACCACGCUCAGCUGACAUUUGGUUAUUUUGAUUUUUUUGUUAUAUUACAAAUAAUGUUAUUAAAGCACUUGUGAUACAAGUGUCUCUUUGGGUCAUGGGCACACAAUUCAGUUGGGUAUAAACCUAAGAAUGGAAUCAUUAGGUCAUAGGGUAAGCAUAUCUUCAACUUCACUGGAAAAUAUCAGUUCCCAAAGUAGUAAUUGCCUAAAUUUACAUUCUCAUCAGCAGUGUAUUAAAGUUUCCAUGGCUCCUCAUACUUGCUAACACUUGGUAUUGUCAGCUGUCUUUGUUUUAGCCAUCUGGGUGUAUGUCCUUAUUCUUUGAAUACGAAUUUCCUUGAUUACUAAUGAGGAUAAACCCUUUUUCAUUACAUAUAUGUGAAUACACAUAUACAUAAAUAUAUACAGUAUACAUACUGUAUAUGUGUAUAUGAAAACAUAUAUAUACAUAAAUAUAUAUGUAUAUAUACUGUACAUAUUAGGCUAUCUGGAGUUCUUCUUUUCUGAAUUGCCUGUUCAAGUCUCUUGCUCAUUUUUCUAUUGAGUUGUCUGUUUUUUCUUAAUGGUGCAUAGCUCUCCUGUAUGUAUUUUGUAUUUAACUGAUAGCUGUUUUGCAAAUAUAUUCUCCCAGUUGUGGUUUGCUUUUUCACUCUAUUAAUGAUUGUUUUUGGUAAAGAGAAAUUCUUAAAUGUUUAAUGCUAAUAUAAUAAAAUCUAUUUAA